GUAGGCAGGCGGACUCUCAACCACUGCGCCACCAGGAAAGCCCAAACCACUCAUUUUUAAAAGGAAAAGACUAUCUGUCCCUCCCCCCUCCCCACACCCAAUAGCAGAUCUGCACUGCCAGGGCAACGUGCUGUCCGUAACACAGCGUGCAUAGUCACAAAACGUAGUAAGUGCUGUGAAGGAAGAGUGGAGGGUCCUCUGAGAGAACACAACCAAAGAACUCAGUCUAAAUCAAGAGGAUCCAGCAAAGUCAAAUUGUUGCCGCUGUCUAACGGAUGAAGAGAAAUUUGACAGGUGCAGAUGGGAGCAGAUGUAUUCCAGGCAGUACGCGUGCAGACCUGAGGCAGGAGCGUCAGUGAACAGAGGCUCAGGGAGGGAAACACCUCAGCUCCUCUGGUGGGCCUUGCAACAGGUGGGUGACUUCAACCACCAGCACUCCAGGAACUCAGAAUUACUCUUUUUUUCUGCUUUGCAUCUGCGGUGUUUGAAGGAUUCUCAAGAUGAGGGCACACCUGCUUCUACGUGUCUGUUCCCAGAAGAACUCAGGAGCAGCGUCUAUCAGUACAGAAGAGCUACAAGGGGUUCCGGUUCAAGAUGGUGACACAGGAGGACCCUGAGCGCACCCACAUCCCGCGGACACCCUGAAUCUACAGCUACACACAGAACAAUUUCCUCUGAAAGAAAUCCAAGAACUAGCAAAGCGACUCUUAGAAUCUGGUGAACAAAAACCCGCAUCGAAAGGGGUAGGAGAGGCCGAGACGCGCUCUCACCUUAAACCCCACUCCUGGCACAGCGACCCACAGUCAGGGGUGGGCUGGGGGGCUGACGGCUCCCAGCUUCUCCCUGAGGAGUGAGGCUUUGACCUCCACAUCGGGCAUCCCAACUUUUAAGGCCUACCCCUGAGAGAUGAACCCCCAAAAACCAUCUAACUUGGAAAGCCAGUGUGGCUGCAUCCGCAAGACCCACGAGGCUAGAGCAUCUGAGAAGCCAACCUUCAAGGGCUCUCCAGGACUCAGCAGGCUAACGCCCCAGGGCCCAGCGCCGAGGCCGGGACUGAACUGUGCCCAGUCUUCCUGUGUAAGAGGCCUGUUGCCUGUCUUGAGAGCUUCAGCCUGAGGGGCGGACAUUUAACACAUUUCUGGAGGCCACUGAAAUACGCCCCAAGGACGGCCAAAGCGGGAGGCACCAUCUUUGUGCGCGCCCUCUCCUUUCCUGGGGUUGCGGGGAUCUCCCAGAAAGGGGGGUGUGCACGUCUGGGGCUCCGGAUUUGGCGCUGCCUGCCGGGGGGUGCCCCCUGACCAUCUGGCUCUGGUGGCCAACCAGGCUUACAUUCCCGGGUCCCACAGAACUGUAACAA
This is a non-coding RNA of Delphinapterus leucas (beluga whale), 1357 nucleotides long. Lineage: Eukaryota; Metazoa; Chordata; Mammalia; Artiodactyla; Monodontidae. The record is from RefSeq and is a predicted model, not a curated record.